AGCUGCCAGUUGGUGGUGAGCAGAGACGUCAUCAGCUUGUAAGCUGAGCUUCAGUGUCCCCUGAGAAUGCAGCCAGCUGGCAACGGUGGAAGAAAGUGGUGAACUCAUUUGACUUCUCUUUAUCAGCUGUUCCAUGUAUAUGAUGUGCAAGAGGACUGGGGCUCUGUGUCAAGGCCAGCUGGGAUGCUGAGGUUUUGUGUUAGGACCAAGGGGGAGGCUGAUGGCUGUUCUUGUUUGUGCUGCUCCACACCACGGCCUAAACUAGCCACAGGCUGCUACUGCCUGGACCCCAGCCCAAACCCACUGGAAUGAGAGAGAUGAGUCUUAGAGUAGAUGCAAAUUAACUUACCCAACUUCGUCUCUCUGGGUCAGCCCCCACAGUAGGCUAGAUAGAUACCUUGACUGCAAGGACAAUCCAGGGCUGGCGUAAGGAACCAAGAGGUAGGCUCAUAGCAGGCUCUAUGCUGAGCUCUGAUUCUACCCUGUCUUAGUGAGGCCAUCCUGGUAUCUCCUUUCCUCCAUGAAGUAUGUGGCGAUUUAAUGGUAGUGAAAUUUAUUGUGGGUAAUGGAGUGUCAAGCUCCUUAUUGCUAAUGGAUGAUUUCAAAUGUGGAGAAAGAUUUAUUAGAUAAAUCAAGCAUACACCUCUGAGAGAAUAUUACUGUGAGUGAAAACAAUUAUAUGGUUAAACAAAGAGGAAAGAAAAUUUAAAUGCAUCUCUAAAGGUCUCUUUAAAUCAGUUUAAAUGUGUGAUUUUUAAAAGAUGGAGAGGAUUAGUUUCAGCAAAUUACUCAUCAAUUUUUUUUUUUUUUUUUUGGAUUCAACAGGAAACCAACAGCCCUACUUGGCUUCCAUUUAAAAAAGUUAUUGGUGUUUGAGGAAGAAAGGAAAAAAAUUAAGGAAGUGACUUUGGUAGCCUAUUGCAGUUCUCAGGUUCUAAUUUCCUUGGUGUAUAGUGAGCUCUCCCUGUAGCAUAUGGAAGGGGUCAGGGAAGCAGCAGCCAGAACCGUCAUUCAGAGAGGAGGAUCAGGGUAUUAGAUGCAUCAGAGCUUUGGAGCUGGAAGCGACUUUGGAGGACAUUUGGACAAUUUCAUCGUGCCUGUGAAGAAGCUAAGGUCCAGAGAAGAAAAGGGACUUUUCUAAGUACCCACACGUGGUAGAUUGCAGAGCCAGAAGCCGGGCUUUGCCGUUGCUCUCUCCGUGCAAUGGGAAUAAUAUUUGUCUCAGGGUGUCUGGAGGAGACAAGAACCUAGGGAAAGUACUUUGGAAAGUAUUCUGCUUAGUCCUGGAAGGGAUGGUGUGUGGAAGAGAUUGGCUGUGAGCCUCCCUGGUGGGUUCAUUUUUGUGAGGGGCCUUUCCCCUACCCUUGGUCACUUCAGCAGUUCCACAGCCAGGACUGUAGCUGGCUGAGGUUCCACACCUCUCUCCCCCACCAAGCUGAGGAGAGGCACAGGCAGCCACAAGCCCCUGACAUUUUCCUUGAGAUGGUGACAGCUGGUAAGACUUUUGACUAAAGGAAUAAAGAGCAAGCAGGCAAAAAAAAGUUACUGUGUUAAAAGUGGUUUAAAAAUGUUGUGCACCAUCUGUUGGGCCACCACGGAUUUUUGGGGUAUGUGUAGGGGGAGAGACCUCUCCUCUCCCACUCCUGAGCUUCACCUCUUUAAGGACCAGCUAUGAGAAGUUUUAGCAUGUCUGCAGGCUUUGAUUUCCAUGUUCCUCAAACUUUCUUUCUGCUCCCUUCCCUUCGCUUCCAAAAAUGCAUGCUCUCAUUCUGCUUCCUGAAAAGAUAUUUUCUUAAUUGCUAAUAAAAUAGAGACCCUGCAAAGCCUGGCACAUAUAGAUCAACAGGCAGGUGUUUGAUGUUGGCCUUUGCUGUCUGAGCUUGGUUCUACUGGAAGGGAAAUAGAACCUAAAAAAAGCAGGUAUUGAAAGACACAUUUUGAAUGUUCUCACUCACAUGUGGGAGCUACAAAUUAAAACAAUCGAACUCAUGGAGAUGGAGUAGAACGAUGGUUACGAGAGGCUGGCCUGGGAAGUGGAAAGCAGGGGAAAAAGUGGGGAUGAUGAAUGGGUGCAAACAUAUAGUUAGAUAGAAGGAAUUGGUGCCAGUAUUUGAUAGCACAACAGGCUGACUAUAGUCAACAAUAAUUUAUUGUGUAUUUAAAAAUAACUAAAAGAGUAGUAUUGGAAUAUUCCUAACACAAAUAACUGAUAGAUGCUUGAGGUGAUGAAUACCCCAAUUACCCUGAAGUGAUCAUUACACAUUGCGUGGCUACAUUAAAACAUCACAUGCACCCCAUACAUAUAUACAUCUGCUAUGUACCCAUAGCAAUUAAAAAUUUUUAAAAGAAAAUACCAUGGAAGCAAAAUAAUAAGAAAAACUAAAAACCAAAACAAGCAAACAAAACCAGGUAUUUAAGCUCUACUCCACCCAGUAAUAUCACAAUCAGGUUUCCCUUCACAUCCUAACCCUUUAGACCACUUCUGCUGACAUUUUUUAUGAAGUUUGUCUGAGAUAUUUUUCAGGUUUUUUUUUUCCCUUUUGUGAAUAGCGUUAUAAAAAUAUAUAUUCUACAUAGUUACUGCUGUAGUACAUGAAAAUUAUUAAUUUUGUGUGUUGAUCGACUUGAUUAACUCAUAUUUGAUUCCAUUUGCUUCUUGUGGAUUUUUCUGAUAGAUGUUUAUAUUGACUGCAAAUACUAACAGUUUUGUCUCUUUCUUUUCAGAAUUAUAUUUCUUAUUUUCUUCUCUUGUCUUUUUCUCUUUUCUUUUUUUUUUUUUUUUUUUGUGUGACGGAGUUUCGCUCUUGUUAUCCAGGCUGGAGUGCAAUGGCGCAAUCUCGGCUCACCGCAACCUCCGCCUCCUGGGUUCAGGCAAUUCUCCUGCCUCAGCCUCCCGAGUAGCUGGGAUUACAGGCACGCGCCACCACACCCAGCUAAUUUUUUGUAUUUUUAGUAGAGAUGGGGUUUCACCAUGUUGACCAGGUUGGUCUCGAUCUCUCGACCUCGUGAUCCACCUGCCUCGCCCUCCCAAAGUGCUGGGAUUACACGCAUGAGCCACCGUGCCCGGCCUUAUUCUCUUGUCUUUAUGGAGUUUAGGAUAAGAAGGGGAAUAUGGAGAUUGUGCCCUGGUUCACUGGUUUUAUCCAACCUCCUCAACUUUGUAUGUUUUGAAGACUGGUGUUUUAAACCACAGUUCCAAAGAUGAGGAUCUAUUCAACAAUCCAGGAGGUCGUCAGGGGCCAUUGACUCCAUUUUAUGGUGAGGCGACAAGUCGCUAAAGAAGAGGGGUCUUGUUGAGAGUCGUAUUGUCAGUUAUUGAUGGAACCAGGACUGGAGCCCAAGUCUUUACAAUACAAUUUCUUCACCCAGAAGUAAUACAGAGAGGCUGUCAGGUCCUUUAAAGUCUUCUUGAACAGGAAAUGGAAGAUGAUUAAUCCUGGAGGUCUUGGUCACUUCUCUGCAUGGAGGGAUGAAAUCUUGUCACAGCUUGAGAAGAGUUUGCCUGAGAGUAAAAUGGCACAUUGAGGAAAGUGAGCUAAGAAAGAGAAAGACAAACUCCUAAUGAGCUUGCUGAAAUACAUAGAUCCAGUCAUUCCUGAAGUUAGUAGUCAUCUCCCACAUUCUAGACUUUUCAGUGAGUUUCACCAGGCAAAGUCUGAGGUGUGGAAUGCAACCAGAAGCAUGCUGCUUGCUGUGGGCAAUGGAAUGUGAGUGGAAGUCACAUGUCACUUCGGGAUGGAGGCCUUCAGAGCAGGACAUUUGCCCCUCUGCUAGCUGCCUGUUGAGAUACCCACAUGGCAAGGAACUGGAGAAGGCCUUUGGCCAAUGGCCAGUGAGGAACUGAGAUCCUUGGCUCAAUGACCUACCAGGAACAGAACCCUGCCAACAACCACAUGAGUGAGUUUGGAAGCACAUUUUCCCUUGGUUACACCUUCAAAUGAGAUUGCAGCUCCAUCCAGCAGCUUGACCAUAAUCUCACGGCAGAGUCUCAGCUAGAAGCAUCCAGGUUUCUGCAUUUCUGACUACCGAUGGCUCUACCUGGACCUUCCCUGACCUAACUUGUCCUGUGGCCCCCACCCAGAAGUAGAAUCCCUGGCUUACCAAACUAUCCUUGAAAAACCCUAGCCUCCAAAUUUUCCGAGAUUGAUUUGAGUAAUAUCUCUCUCUGCCAUGUGGUGUGGCUGGCCUUGUGUCUAUUAAACUGUUUCUUUCUUGCAA
Long non-coding RNA from Callithrix jacchus (white-tufted-ear marmoset), 4218 nucleotides. RefSeq lists it as uncharacterized. The record is from RefSeq and is a predicted model, not a curated record. Lineage: Eukaryota; Metazoa; Chordata; Mammalia; Primates; Cebidae.